Molecule: ribosomal RNA, 253 nt
Filed under: uncultured bacterium
Lineage: Bacteria
Description: partial 16S ribosomal RNA
Rfam family: Bacterial small subunit ribosomal RNA
Source: RNAcentral
UACGUAGGGUGCGAGCGUUAAUCGGAAUUACUGGGCGUAAAGCGUGCGCAGGCGGUUUUGUAAGCCAGGUGUGAAAUCCCCGGGCUCAACCUGGGAAUGGCAUUUGGGACUGCAAGGCUGGAGUGCGGCAGAGGAGACUGGAAUUCCUGGUGUAGCGGUGAAAUGCGCAGAUAUCGGGAAGAACACCCGUGGCGAAGGCGGUUCUCUGGGACGGUACUGACGCUGAGACGCGAAAGCGUGGGGAGCGAACAGG